GACGAACGCUGGCGGCGUGCUUAACACAUGCAAGUCGAACGAUGAAGCUGGAGCUUGCUCUAGCGGAUUAGUGGCGAACGGGUGAGUAACACGUGAGCAAUCUGCCCUUGACUCUGGGAUAACUGCGGGAAACUGUAGCUAAUACCGGAUACUUUCACCGGGGGGCAUCCUCUGGUGAUGAAAGAAUUUCGGUCAAGGAUGAGCUCGCGGCCUAUCAGCUUGUUGGUGAGGUAACGGCUCACCAAGGCGACGACGGGUAACCGGCCUGAGAGGGUGUCCGGUCACACUGGGACUGAGACACGGCCCAGACUCCUACGGGAGGCAGCAGUGGGGAAUAUUGCACAAUGGGCGCAAGCCUGAUGCAGCAACGCCGCGUGAGGGAUGAAGGCCUUCGGGUUGUAAACCUCUUUUAGCAGGGAAGAAGCGAAAGUGACGGUACCUGCGGAAAAAGCACCGGCUAACUACGUGCCAGCCGCCGCAGUAA
Molecule: ribosomal RNA, 484 nt
Filed under: uncultured bacterium
Lineage: Bacteria
Description: partial 16S ribosomal RNA
Rfam family: Bacterial small subunit ribosomal RNA
Source: RNAcentral